Molecule: transfer RNA, 73 nt
Filed under: Loxodonta africana (African savanna elephant)
Lineage: Eukaryota; Metazoa; Chordata; Mammalia; Proboscidea; Elephantidae
Rfam family: tRNA
About the family: Transfer RNA (tRNA) molecules are approximately 80 nucleotides in length. Their secondary structure includes four short double-helical elements and three loops (D, anti-codon, and T loops). Further hydrogen bonds mediate the characteristic L-shaped molecular structure. tRNAs have two regions of fundamental functional importance: the anti-codon, which is responsible for specific mRNA codon recognition, and the 3' end, to which the tRNAs corresponding amino acid is attached (by aminoacyl-tRNA synthetases). tRNAs cope with the degeneracy of the genetic code in two manners: having more than one tRNA (with a specific anti-codon) for a particular amino acid; and 'wobble' base-pairing, i.e. permitting non-standard base-pairing at the 3rd anti-codon position.
Source: Rfam by way of RNAcentral
CCCUCGGUGGCACAAAUGGUUAAGUGCUUGACUACCAGCCAAAAAAUUGGUGGUUCAAGUCCACCCAGAGGUG